Long non-coding RNA from Rhipicephalus microplus (southern cattle tick), 351 nucleotides. The record is from RefSeq and is a predicted model, not a curated record. Lineage: Eukaryota; Metazoa; Arthropoda; Arachnida; Ixodida; Ixodidae.
CUUGUUUCGAAAUUCACUCUGUAUACCGUAAAGUAGCUCCGAGGCAUAAAGCACGUCAACCAGGCUUCGCAUUUUUACUGACCGUUUUGAGAUUGAUAAGCACAAAAACCUACAGCAUGCUCCGGUCAUUCUCCUCUUCAACAUUCUUUCUUAUUAUAGCUUGCCUUUUCAGACAUGGUGAUACUAACACAUGCGGGACUAAACAAAUGCGAACGCCUGCAGGGCUCAACAGUAUUGGAUGCGAGCCUAUCUGCGACAGCCCGUUACCUCUAACAGGCUUAUACUCCAAUUUUCCACAGUUGGUACAGAAUAUAAAAGUUCUUCGUCCUGAGGGACACUUGUGCCUUGUGA